UACGUAGGGCGCAAGCGUUAUCCGGAAUUAUUGGGCGUAAAGAGCUCGUAGGCGGUUUGUCGCGUCUGCCGUGAAAAUUCGAGGCUCAACCUCGAACUUGCGGUGGGUACGGGCAGACUAGAGUGUGGUAGGGGGAGACUGGAAUUCCUGGUGUAGCGGUGAAAUGCGCAGAUAUCAGGAGGAACACCGAUGGCGAAGGCAGGUCUCUGGGCCACUACUGACGCUGAGAAGCGAAAGCAUGGGGGAGCGAACAGG
Molecule: ribosomal RNA, 255 nt
Filed under: uncultured bacterium
Lineage: Bacteria
Description: partial 16S ribosomal RNA
Rfam family: Bacterial small subunit ribosomal RNA
Source: RNAcentral